This is a long non-coding RNA of Erigeron canadensis, 488 nucleotides long. RefSeq lists it as uncharacterized. Lineage: Eukaryota; Viridiplantae; Streptophyta; Magnoliopsida; Asterales; Asteraceae. The record is from RefSeq and is a predicted model, not a curated record. The transcript is spliced from 2 exons.
CUAAAAACAAAGAGAAAAGACAUUAAAUUGUACUAAAUGAAAUAUAUAUAGAUUUGGAUCACUACUAAUGUGUAAGUUAUUUUGUAUGUUGCUAUAUAUACUGUGGCAGCAUAUAUAUAUAGGUAAAACACAAAGCAACUUAGUUGGGGGGAUAAUCAACUCCUUGUAAUCGAUCUGUUUGUGAUCUCCUCUUGCAUCAAUUACCUAUUAAUGAUAGAGGAUCAAUCGACAAGUGGCCAGGAAAGAGAUCGAAGAGCUAGAUGUUGAAUGAAUCGUUCGUGGCAACAUGGAUCUCAGAGUUAGUAUUCGCAAGAAGGUCAGAUGGUCAAACGACUUUGUUUGGACAUGGCGGCUGGUCAGAAGACUAAAAUAAAUAAUCAUGCUGACAUUACUACCAAAUGACUUUUUUUUUUCUCAAAACAUUGAUCACAAUAUUUUAUUUCAUCAGCUGAUCUGGUAUACAUCAAUAUAUGUUGCUAUAAAAGUUA